GCCGAACGCUGGCGGCGUGCUUAACACAUGCAAGUCGAACGAUGAACCCGGAGCUUGCUCUGGGGGAUUAGUGGCGAACGGGUGAGUAACACGUGAGUAACCUGCCCUGGACUCUGGGAUAAGCGUUGGAAACGACGUCUAAUACCGGAUAGGACCUUGGAUCGCAUGAUCUGGGGUGGAAAGUUUUUUCGGUCUGGGAUGGACUCGCGGCCUAUCAGCUUGUUGGUGAGGUAAUGGCUCACCAAGGCGUCGACGGGUAGCCGGCCUGGGAGGGUGACCGGCCACACUGAGACUGACAGACGGCCCAGCCUCCUACGGGAGGCAGCAGUGGGGAAUAGUGCACAAUGGGCGAAAGCCUGAUGCAGCAACGCCGCGUGCGGGAUGACGGCGUUCGGGUUGUAAACCGCUUUUAGUAGGGAAGAAGGGCUUCGGCUUGACGGUACCUGCAGAAAAAGGACCGGCUAACUACGUG
RNAcentral lists this ribosomal RNA (472 nucleotides) under uncultured bacterium. Its description in RNAcentral is "partial 16S ribosomal RNA". It matches the Rfam family "Bacterial small subunit ribosomal RNA", at positions 28 to 507 of the family's 1533-position model. The record is from RNAcentral.